This 468-nucleotide ribosomal RNA is filed under the name uncultured bacterium. RNAcentral describes it as "partial 16S ribosomal RNA". It matches the Rfam family "Bacterial small subunit ribosomal RNA", at positions 28 to 507 of the family's 1533-position model. The record is from RNAcentral.
GACGAACGCUGGAGGCGUGCUUAACACAUGCAAGUCGAACGGAAAGGCCCUGCUUUUGUGGGGUGCUCGAGUGGCGAACGGGUGAGUAACACGUGAGUAACCUGCCCUUGACUUUGGGAUAACUUCAGGAAACUGGGGCUAAUACCGGAUAGGAGCUCCUGCUGCAUGGUGGGGGUUGGAAAGUUUCGGCGGUUGGGGAUGGACUCGCGGCUUAUCAGCUUGUUGGUGGGGUAGUGGCUUACCAAGGCUUUGACGGGUAGACGGCCUGAGAGGGUGACCGGCCACAUUGGGACUGAGAUACGGCCCAGACUCCUACGGGAGGCAGCAGUGGGGAAUAUUGCACAAUGGGCGGAAGCCUGAUGCAGCAACGCCGCGUGCGGGAUGACGGCCUUCGGGUUGUAAACCGCUUUCGCCUGUGACGAAGCGUGAGUGACGGUAAUGGGUAAAGAAGCACCGGCUAACUACGUG